This 883-nucleotide ribosomal RNA is filed under the name Acinetobacter baumannii. Its description in RNAcentral is "partial 23S ribosomal RNA". It matches the Rfam family "Bacterial large subunit ribosomal RNA", at positions 1664 to 2531 of the family's 2925-position model. Lineage: Bacteria; Pseudomonadati; Pseudomonadota; Gammaproteobacteria; Moraxellales; Moraxellaceae. The record is from RNAcentral.
UGGUCAGGUCGAGUAGACCAAGGCGCUUGAGAGAACUCUGCUGAAGGAACUAGGCAAAAUGGUACCGUAACUUCGGGAGAAGGUACGCUGUUGUUGGUGAUGGAACUCGCUUCCUGAGCUGACGACAGCCGCAGAAACCAGGCCGCUGCAACUGUUUAUUAAAAACAUAGCACUCUGCAAACACGAAAGUGGACGUAUAGGGUGUGAUGCCUGCCCGGUGCUGGAAGGUUAAUUGAUGGGGUUAGCGUAAGCGAAGCUCUUGAUCGAAGCCCCAGUAAACGGCGGCCGUAACUAUAACGGUCCUAAGGUAGCGAAAUUCCUUGUCGGGUAAGUUCCGACCUGCACGAAUGGCAUAAUGAUGGCGGCGCUGUCUCCAGCAGAGGCUCAGUGAAAUCGAAAUCGCUGUGAAGAUGCAGUGUACCCGCGGCUAGACGGAAAGACCCCGUGAACCUUUACUGCAGCUUGACACUGAACUUUGACCUUACUUGUGUAGGAUAGGUGGGAGGCUUUGAAGCUGGAACGCUAGUUCCAGUGGAGCCGUCCUUGAAAUACCACCCUGGUAAUGUUGAGGUUCUAACUCUGUCCCGUGAUCCGGGACGAGGACCGUGUCUGGUGGGUAGUUUGACUGGGGCGGUCUCCUCCUAAAGAGUAACGGAGGAGUACGAAGGUGCGCUCAGCGUGGUCGGAAAUCACGCGUAGAGUAUAAAGGCAAAAGCGCGCUUAACUGCGAGACCCACAAGUCGAGCAGGUACGAAAGUAGGUCUUAGUGAUCCGGUGGUUCUGUAUGGAAGGGCCAUCGCUCAACGGAUAAAAGGUACUCUGGGGAUAACAGGCUGAUACCGCCCAAGAGUUCAUAUCGACGGCGGUGUUUGGCACCUCGAUG